This 863-nucleotide ribosomal RNA is filed under the name uncultured Actinomycetes bacterium. RNAcentral's name for it is "bacterial SSU rRNA". It matches the Rfam family "Bacterial small subunit ribosomal RNA", at positions 641 to 1501 of the family's 1533-position model. Lineage: Bacteria; Bacillati; Actinomycetota; Actinomycetes. The record is from RNAcentral.
CUUGAGUGCAGUAGGGGAAAGUGGAAUUCCUGGUGUAGCGGUGAAAUGCGCAGAUAUCAGGAAGAACACCGGUAGCGAAGGCGGCUUUCUGGGCUGCUACUGACGCUGAGGCGCGAAAGCUAGGGGAGCAAACAGGAUUAGAUACCCUGGUAGUCCUAGCUGUAAACGAUGGACACUAGGUGUGGGGAGUUAUCGACGCUUUCCGUGCCGGAGCUAACGCAUUAAGUGUCCCGCCUGGGGAGUACGGUCGCAAGACUAAAACUCAAAGGAAUUGACGGGGGCCCGCACAAGCGGCGGAGCAUGUGGCUUAAUUCGACGCAACGCGAAGAACCUUACCAAGGCUUGACAUCAUAUUGACGAUUAUAGAAAUAUAAUUUCUCUUCGGAGCAAUAUGACAGGUGGUGCAUGGCUGUCGUCAGCUCGUGUCGUGAGAUGUUGGGUUAAGUCCCGCAACGAGCGCAACCCUUGUCCCAUGUUGCUAACAGUUCGGCUGAGCACUCUUGGGAAACUGCCAGCGUAAAGCUGGAGGAAGGUGGGGAUGACGUCAAGUCAUCAUGCCCUUUAUGCCUUGGGCCGCACACGCGCUACAAUGGACCGUACAAAGAGCAGCGAUACUGUGAAGUGGAGCAAAUCUGUUAAAGCGGUUCAAAGUCCGGAUUGAAGGCUGAAAUUCGCCUUCAUGAAGUAGGAGUCGCUAGUAAUCGUGGAUCAGAACGCCGCGGUGAAUACGUUCCCGGGCCUUGUACACACCGCCCGUCACACCACGAAAGUUGGAUACACCCAAAGAUAGUAUACUAACCGGCAACGGGGGAAACUAUUUAAGGUGGAGCCAGUGAUUGGGGUGAAGUCGUAACAAGGUAACC